This 269-nucleotide ribosomal RNA is filed under the name uncultured prokaryote. Its description in RNAcentral is "partial 16S ribosomal RNA". It matches the Rfam family "Bacterial small subunit ribosomal RNA", at positions 524 to 792 of the family's 1533-position model. The record is from RNAcentral.
UACGUGAUCCUCAAGCGUUAUCCGGAUUCAUUGGGCGUAAAGGGUCCGUAGGCGUUUUAUUAGGUUUUCUGUUAAAGCUUGGGGCUUAACUCCAAGACUGCAGAAAAAACCAGUAGAAUAGAGGGCAUUAGGGGCUGAUGGAACGGUCGGUGUAGGGGUGGAAUCCGUUGAUAUCGACCGGAACACCAAAAGCGAAGGCAUUCAGCUGGGAUGACCCUGACGCUGAGGGACGAAAGCGUGGGUAGCAAAAAGGAUUAGAUACCCCCGUA